Molecule: non-coding RNA, 503 nt
Organism: Cinara cedri
Lineage: Eukaryota; Metazoa; Arthropoda; Insecta; Hemiptera; Aphididae
Source: the annotation of a GenBank genome assembly
CCGGUCGGUUUUUAUACUACACUACGACGAUUGCGACGACGGGCCGAAAGUUUUCGGCAAGGCACCAAAAUAAAAAAAAAAUAAUAAUGAUAAUACUUGACUGUAAUCUCCGCCAUUCCGAAACUUUCUUAUCUCGGCUCUUAUCGGUUUUAAAUUCCUCACUCUUUCUCUCUCUUCUAUGUGUAUAUAUAAAUAUACUUUAGCGAGUGCCAUUUAUAUUCCCCGGAAAUGGUUAUUAUUCGGUAACGCCGGUCCUGUCGCCCCAAAGGGAAAUUAUUUUUCAUUAUGCGUCGUUUUCGAAAAAUAAAUUACUUUCGACCCUCUUUUUGCGUCGUCAACACGUUUUAUUUUAAACACCCCUCCUACUAUACCACUCCAUCGCCCACUCGCCUCCGAGGUGUAAUAUUAUCACGUGAGAAUAUUAUUAACAGCGCGAUAUCGACAAUCCGUGAGUGGACUUCAUAUACAGAUAUUCCGUCCGGUAUUCGAAUUAAUUGUGGAGG